GAUGAACGCUGGCGGCGUGCCUAAUACAUGCAAGUCGAGCGAACAGAUGAGGAGCUUGCUCCUCUGACGUUAGCGGCGGACGGGUGAGUAACACGUGGAUAACCUACCUAUAAGACUGGGAUAACUUCGGGAAACCGGAGCUAAUACCGGAUAAUAUAUUGAACCGCAUGGUUCAAUAGUGAAAGACGGUUUUGCUGUCACUUAUAGAUGGAUCCGCGCCGCAUUAGCUAGUUGGUAAGGUAACGGCUUACCAAGGCGACGAUGCGUAGCCGACCUGAGAGGGUGAUCGGCCACACUGGAACUGAGACACGGUCCAGACUCCUACGGGAGGCAGCAGUAGGGAAUCUUCCGCAAUGGGCGAAAGCCUGACGGAGCAACGCCGCGUGAGUGAUGAAGGUCUUCGGAUCGUAAAACUCUGUUAUUAGGGAAGAACAAAUGUGUAAGUAACUAUGCAUGUCUUGACGGUACCUAAUCAGAAAGCCACGGCUAACUACGUG
This 497-nucleotide ribosomal RNA is filed under the name uncultured bacterium. Its description in RNAcentral is "partial 16S ribosomal RNA". It matches the Rfam family "Bacterial small subunit ribosomal RNA", at positions 28 to 507 of the family's 1533-position model. The record is from RNAcentral.